Spinacia oleracea (spinach) is the source of this 1876-nucleotide long non-coding RNA. RefSeq lists it as uncharacterized. The record is from RefSeq and is a predicted model, not a curated record. NCBI's taxonomy places the organism in Eukaryota, Viridiplantae, Streptophyta, Magnoliopsida, Caryophyllales, Amaranthaceae. The transcript is spliced from 2 exons.
CCUUUUGCUAUGCCAUCACCAUCAUCAUCUUCUUCAUGUACUCCGUAUAUCAGUACUAGCUUCCUCCGAAGUUUUGAUACAUCAAACCGUUGAAAUUAGUCGAUUUCUUUUUAUUGGGGUUUUGAGAAGGGGGUGUAUUUAAUUUGUUUAGCCAUUUGGCUUGGAAGAAACAUCUGUUUUGAUUUUCAUCCAUGGUUGUUCUUUUAUUUUUCUUUUGAUAUUCUCUAACCAAAUUAUUUUUGAUGAAACGAAAAUCUGGGUCUCCUCAUUCGCACCCAAAUCCAGUUGUUUUUAAAGGUUAAGUUAGGAUUUUUGGAUGAUUUAAUAACUUAAACCCAACAAUAAUUAACCCCGCAAACAUUCGCACAAGAGUCAGGAAAAAAAGCUCCUGGUGGUCUUGCGUUUGGUUCGAUUUUCGCAAACAUUAGGAUUUGGUUCCGAUUUUCGUGAUUUGGUUCAGAUUGGAGGAGGGGACGUGGGGAUUUGGGUGGGGAGAGAGAAUUGGGGAGGACUAGAUUGGUGUUAGCUCCUCCUUCAGCAAGGAACAGAGUUGGGCUUGCGUUUAUGGCAUUCAACGAUGAUGUCUUCGGGGGUGGAGAAAGAGAAGAGGCGGGUGGAGAUGGAACAUGGUGGUGGGGCACGGUGGUGAUAUGGGUGGUAGAAGAAAGACUCCUGGGAAGGAGAAAGAGUAUAAAGAAAAGAAUAAAGAAAAAAAGAAAGAAAAAAAAAAUUAGAGCUAAAAGUUAACAUAAAAGUUAACGGUAUAGACGGAAAAGCUCAUGAAGGGCAUUUUGUAUAUUUUUAUAAAACCUCGGGGGUAUUUGGUGCAUUUUAGAAAGUUUAGGGGUAUUUGGUGCAUUUAGUUAAAUCUCAGGGGCAUUUCAUGAAAAAUCCGAAAAAAAACGAUAUUCUACAUGUCUGAUCUCACUUGCAUCGCUACCAUAAUAUUUUUUCACGGUUGCUAUACGCAACCUUUAAUUACUUUAGCGCACCCCCGUAAAAAACCAAAAAUACCCUUUUUAAUUUCUUGGUUUCUAUCCUAAGGUAAAACUCUCUCCAGCCGUCGUCCUCCUUUCAACCUCCGUUCAAUCUACAUGAUAACCGCACUUUUAAUUUUACGAUUACCAGCCAUACAACCCAUCUCAUCCACAAUCUUUCAAGGGAAUGAAGGUUUCCCUACUGGUUGGUAAUUGAAUUACUGAUAAUUAUAUUAAUAACUGAGUUCUGGGGCACUUCUUAAAGCUUUUGUAGUUUGACAAAGGAAUACUCCAUAUUGAAGGCUCCAUUAAGUUAUAUUCUUUUUUUUUUGGUUCUACUACGAGGAGUUCCCACCGCCUUCGGCGAGGUAAUCUCCCGUGGGAGUUUGCAUGGGUACCUCGAUGGGCAGCAUCCCUCCCAGUUGAGAUUUUUUCCAUUCCCAAGGCUCGAACCCGAGACCUUGAUUAAGGAGCAAGAGGCCCUUAACCACUCAUGCCAACCUCAAUUGGUCCAUUAAGUUAUAUUCUGACUGUCGAGAGCUUCAUUAUAUUAUUUGCUCAUGGAGGCUUCAAUAAAAAGUUUGUGAUAAGUAGUGACUAGUGGCUUGGAUCAAGCUUCUGUUGUGGAUUCGUUCAGCUCAUCUAAAAGUCAAAUAUUUGCAAAUCCUGUGCGACUAGAGUAUUAGACUUGUGAGCUCUAAGUUUUGCAUGCAUCUAGAAAAGUUAUUGUCUCCUUUCCAUUUAUCUUGACAACUUUCUUAAUUUUGAAUCAUGCGCACUCUAUACACUAUUUCGUUCAACGUAUACGAAAUAAUUAAUUAUGUUUUGUUCAAUUUAUAUAGAAUACUUACUUUUGUUAUAUUCAAUUUGUAUGAAAUGUUUAAUUAUAUUUUGUUCAA